CCCUUAGAUGUCCUGGGCCGCACGCGCGUUACACUGAUGCAUUCAACGAGCUUAUAACCUUGGCCGAGAGGCCUGGGCAAUCUUGUUAACGUGCAUCGUGAUAGGGAUAGAUUAUUGAAAUUAUUAAUCUUGAACGAGGAAUUCCUAGUAAACGCAGAUCAUCAAUCUGCAUUGAUUACGUCCCUGCCCUUUGUACACACCGCCCGUCGCACCUACCGAUUGAAUGAUUUAGUGAGGACUUCGGACUGGGACCGAUGCGGCUUUCGGGCUGCGUCGGUAUUCUGGAAAGAUGUCCAAACUGUAUCAUUUAGAGGAAGUAAAAGUCGUAACA
Molecule: ribosomal RNA, 331 nt
Filed under: uncultured eukaryote
Lineage: Eukaryota
Description: partial 18S ribosomal RNA
Rfam family: Eukaryotic small subunit ribosomal RNA
Source: RNAcentral